Molecule: ribosomal RNA, 528 nt
Filed under: Triticum aestivum (bread wheat)
Lineage: Eukaryota; Viridiplantae; Streptophyta; Magnoliopsida; Poales; Poaceae
Description: partial small subunit ribosomal RNA
Source: RNAcentral
GUUGUGGAUGAACGAACAAAGCUUUUAGUUUAGGAAGCAUCGCUGAUAGCUGUGGUUCAGGCUUGGAUCCUAUUGGUCCAUAAGAGAGUUGUUCGUCGGGAGAAACCUCUCAUCCGGUAUGAUCCGAUGUUAAUCCGGGAUAAUGAGAGGAUAGCGAAUCUGAACUACAUCUACAACUGCAAUGAUACAGAGGCUCUGUGGAUGCUUCGAAUGAAAAGAGCACCUUUCGCCAGGCUUGUGCAGACGUUCAGGACCGGGGGGCUACUAGAAGAUAGCAUCCACACCACCGUGGAAGAGCAAGUAGCCAUGUUCCUCCAUGUUGUUGGUCAUAACCAGAGGUUCAUGGUUGUAAAUAACACCUUCAGGAGAUCAAUGGAGACCAUCUCCAGGUACUUCAAGCAAGUGAUGUAUGAUGUUGGGGAGUUCAGAAGAGAGAUGAUCAGGUCACCAACCGGCCGGAGUCCUACCAAGAUUCGCACUAGCCCAAGGUGGUAUCCAUACUUCAAGGUGAGCACUGACAAUAUGUAG